RNAcentral lists this ribosomal RNA (1368 nucleotides) under Triticum aestivum (bread wheat). Its description in RNAcentral is "partial small subunit ribosomal RNA". Lineage: Eukaryota; Viridiplantae; Streptophyta; Magnoliopsida; Poales; Poaceae. The record is from RNAcentral.
AUGCCGACGGCGACCCCGACGGCGACGGGCCUGGCGACGGGGCCGGGCAGCCGCGUGACGCGGUACGCCAAGUCGACGGCGGCGUCGGUCACGCCGGUGCGCCCCGGCAAGACGCACGAGCUCUCCGCGCUGGACAACGCCAUGGGCUGCCACGCCGUGCACCUGGUGCUCUACUGUCGCGCCGCGCCCGGCGUCGACCGGGACCCCCUCAAGGAGUCGCUCUCCGAGGCGCUCUCGCUCUACCCGGCCAUGGUCGGCCGGCUCACCCGCGCCGAAGGAGAGGGCGGCGCCGCGGCCGGCUCGGGGUGGAUUGUCAAAUGCAACGACGCCGGCGUGCGCACGGUGGACGCGAGGGCGUCGGUCACGCUCGACGAGUGGCUCGCCACGGCCACCGCCGACGACGAGAUGGACCUCGCCUACUUCGAGCCCAUGGGAUCCGAGGCUUACAUCUGGUCUCCCUUCUACGUCCAGCUGACGGAGUUCGCGGACAAGUCGUACGCGCUGGGGCUGAGCUGCACGCACUACCACAACGACCCCACGGCGGCCGCGCUCUUCUUCCACGGCUGGGCCGCCGCCCACCGCCGGAGCAGCAGCCCAUACCCGCCCUUCCUCCACUCGCCGUCCUUCGCCGUGUCCCCGGCCGCCUCGCCGCUCCCGGCGCCGCCUCUGCUCGCCGCCAAGUCCGCGGCCGCUCCGCCUAGCGCCGACGUCGCCGACGCCAUGUCAUCCGCCACGUUCCACUUCCCCGCCGACGCGAUGCGCGCACUGCUGUCCUCCCUCGAGCCCGAGACGACCCCAUUCGGGGCGCUCGCCGCGCUCUUCUGGCUCCGCAUCGCCGGCGCCGAGGAGGAGAGGGAGCUCACGCUCGCCAUCGACUUCCGCAAGAAGAUGCACGCGCCGCUGCCGACGGGGUACUACGGCAGCGCCGUCCACUUCACGCGCGCGCGCGCCGACCUGGCGUCGGGGCUCGCGGCCGUGGCAGCGGCGCUGGACCGGCGCGGGGCCAGCGUGCCGGAGGAGGAUCUGUGGGCCGCCGUGGAGUGGCUGCACGCGCGGCAGGCGGAAGGCGGCGAGCCCUUCCAGCUGUACGGGCCAGAGUUCACCUGCAUGGCGCUGGACCACGUUCCCAUGUACGGCGCCGAGUUCGUGGCCGGGGUGCCGCCGGCGCGCGUGUCGUGCCGCGUCGGCGGGGCGACCGGAGAGGGGAUCGUGAUCGUCGUGCCCGCGGCCGAGGGCGCGGCGAGGGACGUGGUGGUGACGCUCCCGGCAGAGGCGACGGCCAGGCUCUGCCGCGACGUCGAGCUGCUCCGGUACGGCGCCGAGGUGAUGGCUGGGCCCAAGGUGGGAACGGGGGCCAAGGCACAGUAG